UGCAUGGUUGUCGUCAGCUCGUGUCGUGAGAUGUUGGGUUAAGUCCCGCAACGAGCGCAACCCCUAUUGUUAGUUGCCAUCAUUCAGUUGGGGCACUCUAGCGAGACUGCCGGUAAUAAACCGGAGGAAGGUGGGGAUGACGUCAAAUCAUCAUGCCCCUUAUGACCUGGGCUACACACGUGCUACAAUGGUUGGUACAACGAGUUGCGAGUCGGUGACGGCGAGCUAAUCUCUUAAAGCCAAUCUCAGUUCGGAUUGUAGGCUGCAACUCGCCUACAUGAAGUCGGAAUCGCUAGUAAUCGCGGAUCAGCACGCCGCGGUGAAUACGCUCCCGGGCCUU
Molecule: ribosomal RNA, 340 nt
Filed under: uncultured Streptococcus sp.
Lineage: Bacteria; Bacillati; Bacillota; Bacilli; Lactobacillales; Streptococcaceae
Description: bacterial SSU rRNA
Rfam family: Bacterial small subunit ribosomal RNA
Source: RNAcentral